GGGUGCAAGCGUUAUCCGGAUUCACUGGGUUUAAAGGGUGCGUAGGCGGAUAUGUAAGUCCGUGGUGAAAUCUCUGGGCUUAACCCGGAAACUGCCAUGGAUACUAUGUGUCUUGAAUGUUGUUGAGGUGAGCGGAAUAUGUCAUGUAGCGGUGAAAUGCUUAGAUAUGACAUAGAACACCAAUUGCGAAGGCAGCUCACUAAGCAAAUAUUGACGCUGAGGCACGAAAGCGUGGGGAUCAAACAGG
RNAcentral lists this ribosomal RNA (247 nucleotides) under uncultured bacterium. RNAcentral describes it as "partial 16S ribosomal RNA". It matches the Rfam family "Bacterial small subunit ribosomal RNA", at positions 530 to 776 of the family's 1533-position model. The record is from RNAcentral.